CCGUCGGAAAAGCGCAGUAUUCGGGUGGGAGUGACCCGAUUUUCCAGGUGCUGUCCGUCACCCCUUUCUUUGACUCGGAAAGGGAACUCCCUGACCCCUUGCGCUUCCCAAAGUGAGGCAAUGCCUCGCCCUGCUUUGGCUCGCGCACGGUGCGCGCACCCACUGACCUGCGCCCGCUGUCUGGCACUCCCUAGUGAGAUGAACCCUGUACCUCAGAUGGAAAUGCAGAAAUCACCCGUCUUCUGCGUCGCUCAUGCUGGGAGCUGCAGACCGGAGCUGUUCCUAUUCGGCCAUCUUGGUUCCUCCCUCCAAGAACUACUUAACAAUAUACAUACUGAUCCAUUGUGGAAUUAUUAAGGAAAAUACAUUGAAAUAGGUGGCAUUCUUGUCAAAGAUAUAUAUGGACGGCUAGAUGGAUAGAUAGUUUGUCUCUGUGUUAUUUUUUUCAGGUGAAAAUCAUGUUCCAUGGAAGAAGAGUUAGCUCAGCCUGCAACUCAAACAAGUACAGAUAUUCUUCCAUGGAAUGACCAUCAUACUUGGAUUGUAAUAAAAAUGCUUUAGGCAAACUUCUCAUUUCAUCCUUGGCAUAUUAAAAAUAUGUAUGUAUGUUUAAGGCUUGAAACUUAACACUGUAUUUUAAUGUUUCAGUAAGGUAAUUCUUCUUAAAUAAAAUUGGCAUUUUUAAAAAA
Molecule: long non-coding RNA, 689 nt
Organism: Homo sapiens (human)
Lineage: Eukaryota; Metazoa; Chordata; Mammalia; Primates; Hominidae
Product: long intergenic non-protein coding RNA 1807
Source: Ensembl